This 180-nucleotide ribosomal RNA is filed under the name uncultured Glomeromycotina. RNAcentral describes it as "partial small subunit ribosomal RNA". The record is from RNAcentral. Lineage: Eukaryota; Fungi; Glomeromycota.
GACCUGGCUGGGUGGUCCGCCUAACGGUGUGUACUGCUCGGCUGGGCCUUACCUCUUGGUGAUCCAGCGUGCCCUUCACUGGGUGCGUUGGGGAACCAGGACCUUUACCUUGAGAAAAUUAGAGUGUUCAAAGCAGGCCUAUGCCCGAAUACAUUAGCAUGGAAUAAUAAAAUAGGACGU